GUAAAAUUUAAUUUUUAUUUAAAAAAUUUAUUUUAUGAUUAUAAUAUAAAUGAAAUUUUGAGAGUAAGGUUUAUUUAAAUAAUAGAUUUUAUAAAAAUAAUAUUUAUAUUAAUUAUAUUUAUGGGAUUAAAAAAUAGUAAUUUAUAGAAGUAAUAAUAAAUUUAGUGCCAGCAAUUGCGGUUAUACUAAAGUUAUAAAUAAAUUAAUAAUAAUUUAGAAUUAAAUAUAAAUUUAAGAUUGUUUACAAUUGAAUUUAAUUUUGUAUGGUGAAAUAUUAAAGUUAGAUAAAAAUUGUAAAUAAAUAUGAGUGUAUUAAAUUUAAAAAAUUAGAUCAAUAAAUUAGGAUUAGAUACCCUAUUAUAUUAAUUAAAUUAUGAGGAUUAGAGAUUAAAAAUAAUAUAAAAGAAAUUUAAAUAAUUUGGCGGUAUUUUAAAUAGUUAGAGGAAUUUGUUUGUUAAUUGAUAAUCCACGAUAGGAUUAACCUAAUAAAUAAUUUUUAUAUAUUGUUGUUUUAAAAUUAUUUUAAUAGAAAUUAUAUAAUUGAUAAAUUUAAUUAAAAUUAAAAUUCAAAUCAAAAUGUAGAGUUAUUAGGGAUAAAAAUGAAUUACAUUUUAUUUAUAAUAAAGUGAUAUUGUAAUUUUAAUAUUGUAAUAAAAGAGGAUUUAAUAGUAAAUUUAUUAAAUUUAAUAAGUUGAAAUUUAAAUAAAAUAUGUACAAAUUGCCCGUCAUUUUCAUUAGUUAAUGUAAGUGAAAAAAGUCGUAACAAAGUAAGUGUAUAGGAAUAUGUAUUUAGAUUAGG
RNAcentral lists this non-coding RNA (799 nucleotides) under Solenopsis substituta. Lineage: Eukaryota; Metazoa; Arthropoda; Insecta; Hymenoptera; Formicidae. The record is from RNAcentral.